Cyprinus carpio carpio is the source of this 1075-nucleotide long non-coding RNA. The record is from Ensembl. NCBI's taxonomy places the organism in Eukaryota, Metazoa, Chordata, Actinopteri, Cypriniformes, Cyprinidae.
AAUACCUGUGUUAGGGGGGUGCACAAAGCUGAAUACCUUAUUCAGAAAGGCACGGAUAAUGGCUUCAGAAAAGAAUAACAGAUAACGAAUUAUUAUCUGGCUGCAGCACAGUCUGGUGUUUGCUAGAUUCACAGGUGAGCCAGGGGAUCAGCACAAUCUUUUACACAAACCUCUAAAUUCACUCAGUGAGUGUGUGAAGUGAAUGAACGUAAACUUAAUGAAUGAAAAGAGUGCAAAUCAAACACCGCAUUGCUGUUGCCACUCCUGCAUCUCUCAGAAAUCAGAGCUUGGCAAGAGUAGGCCUAAUAUUACCUAAAAUAUUACAUCAUACAUGUUAGGGGGCAGCUGUGGCCUAAUGGUUAGAGAAUUGGACUUGUAACCAGAAGGUCGCAGGUUCGAGUCUCGGUGCUGGCAGGAGUUGUAGGUGGUAGGGAGUGAAUGAACAGCGCUCUCUUCCACCCUCAAUACCCAUGGCUGAAGCACCCUUGAGCAAGGCACUGAACCCCCAGUUGCUCCCUGGGCGCUGGAUAUAGCUGCCCACUGCUCCGGGUGUGUGUGCACUUGGAUGGGUUAAAUGCAGAGCACCAAUUUCAAGUAUGGGUUACCAUACUUGACAAAUGUCACGACUUUCACUACUUUCACUUUUACUAUUUGUGUAUAUACAGGUGCAUCUCAAUAAAUUAGAAUGUCAUGGAAAAGUUCAUUUAUUUCAGUAAUUCAACUCAAAUUGUGAAACUUGUGUAUUAAAUAAAUUCAGUGCACACAGACUGAAGUAGUUUAAGUCUUUGGUUCUUUUAAUUGUGAUGAUUUUGGCUCACAUUUAACAAAAAUCCACAUCUCAACAAAUUAGAAGAACAAUAAAAAAAAACAUUUUUAGUGAAUUGUUGGCCUUCUGGAAAGUAUGUUCAUUUACUGUACAUGUACUCAAUACUUGGUAGGGGCUCCUUUUGCUUUAAUUACUGCCUCAAUUCACAGUGGCAUGGAGGUGUUCAGUUUGUGGCACUGCUGAGGUGGUAUGGAAGCCCAGGUUUCUUUGACAGUGGCCUUCAGGUCAUCUGCAUUUUUUUUGUUGUUC